GUCUAUGGUCAUAUCACCUUGAAUGUACCCAAUCUCAUCUGAUCUCAGAAGCUAAGUAGGGUCAAGCCUGAAGAGUACUUGGAUGGAAAAAUUUAUAUCAACCAAAGAUA
This 110-nucleotide ribosomal RNA is filed under the name Jaculus jaculus (lesser Egyptian jerboa). Lineage: Eukaryota; Metazoa; Chordata; Mammalia; Rodentia; Dipodidae. The record is from RNAcentral.